RNAcentral lists this ribosomal RNA (340 nucleotides) under uncultured bacterium. RNAcentral's name for it is "partial 16S ribosomal RNA". It matches the Rfam family "Bacterial small subunit ribosomal RNA", at positions 338 to 695 of the family's 1533-position model. The record is from RNAcentral.
CCUACGGGAGGCAGCAGUAGGGAAUAUUGCUCAAUGGGGGAAACCCUGAAGCAGCAACGCCGCGUGGAGGAUGAAGGUUUUCGGAUUGUAAACUCCUUUUGUUAGAGAAGAUAAUGACGGUAUCUAACGAAUAAGUACCGGCUAACUCCGUGCCAGAAGCCGCGGUAAUACGGGGGGUGCAAGCGUUACUCGGAAUCACUGGGCGAAAAGAUCGCGUAGGCGGGAUAGCAAGAAGGAUGUGAAAUCCUAUGGCUUAACCAUAGAACUGUAUUGAAAACUGUUAUUUUAGAGGAAGGGAGAGGUAGGGGGAAUUCUUGGUGUAGGGGUAAAAUCGGUAGAG